GCUGGUUUAGCUCAGUAGGUAGAGCACCUACCUUGUAAGCAGGAUGUCGGCGGUUCGAUUCCGUCAAUCGCACCA
RNAcentral lists this transfer RNA (75 nucleotides) under Enterobacter cloacae. RNAcentral's name for it is "tRNA-Thr". It matches the Rfam family "tRNA". From Rfam's summary of the family: Transfer RNA (tRNA) molecules are approximately 80 nucleotides in length. Their secondary structure includes four short double-helical elements and three loops (D, anti-codon, and T loops). RNAcentral also lists the same sequence under 3 other names. The record is from RNAcentral. Lineage: Bacteria; Pseudomonadati; Pseudomonadota; Gammaproteobacteria; Enterobacterales; Enterobacteriaceae.